UUUCAUGGCCAUAUUACCCUGAGCAUACCUGAUCUUGUCUGAUCUUGGAAGCUAAGCAGGGUCAGGCCUAGUUAGUACUAGCAUGGGAGACUGCCUGGGAAUACGGGGUGCUGUAGGGU
Oryctolagus cuniculus (rabbit) is the source of this 119-nucleotide ribosomal RNA. Lineage: Eukaryota; Metazoa; Chordata; Mammalia; Lagomorpha; Leporidae. The record is from Ensembl.